Molecule: ribosomal RNA, 325 nt
Filed under: uncultured eukaryote
Lineage: Eukaryota
Description: partial 18S ribosomal RNA
Rfam family: Eukaryotic small subunit ribosomal RNA
Source: RNAcentral
CCCUUAGAUGUUCUGGGCCGCACGCGCGCUACACUGAUGCAUUCAACGAGCCUAUCCUUGACCGACAGGUCCGGGUAAUCUUUGAAUCUGCAUCGUGACGGGGAUAGAUUAUUGCAAUUAUUAAUCUUCAACGAGGAAUGCCUAGUAGGCGCAAGUCAUCAGCUUGCGUCGAUUACGUCCCUGCCCUUUGUACACACCGCCCGUCGCUCCUACCGAUUGGGUGUGCUCGUGAAAUGUUCGGAUCGGCCGUUUGUCGCGGUUUCCGCGUCAUGUGGCUGAGAAGUUCAUUAAACCCUCCCACCUAGAGGAAGGAGAAGUCGUAACA